GACGAACGCUGGCGGCGUGCUUAACACAUGCAAGUCGAACGGAAAGGCCCUGCUUUUGUGGGGUGCUCGAGUGGCGAACGGGUGAGUAACACGUGAGUAACCUGCCCUUUACUUUGGGAUAACUUCAGGAAACUGGGGCUAAUACCGGAUAGGAGCUCCUGCUGCAUGGUGGGUGUUGGAAAGUUUCGGCGGUUGGGGAUGGACUCGCGGCUUAUCAGCUUGUUGGUGGGUAGUGGCUUACCAAGGCUUUGACGGGUAGCCGGCCUGAGAGGGUGACCGGCCACAUUGGGACUGAGAUACGGCCCAGACUCCUAAGGGAGGCAGCAGUGGGGAAUAUUGCACAAUGGGCGGAAGCCUGAUGCAGCAACGCCGCGUGCGGGAUGACGGCCUUCGGGUUGUAAACCGCUUUCGCCUGUGACGAAGCGUGAGUGACGGUAAUGGGUAAAGAAGCACCGGCUAACUACGUG
This 467-nucleotide ribosomal RNA is filed under the name uncultured bacterium. RNAcentral's name for it is "partial 16S ribosomal RNA". It matches the Rfam family "Bacterial small subunit ribosomal RNA", at positions 28 to 507 of the family's 1533-position model. The record is from RNAcentral.